GCCCGAUGUGCAUGGCCACACCCGCUCCUGGCCAUCGUUCUAAUCGCGGCGGAACUACUCGCCACCGGCGGCAGGCCGGCAGCGGAGAAGAUCUUACCUUGCUGAUCUACGGCAUGCGCGUUGGCAUCGGUCCAGGCCAUUGAAGCGAGCUUGACAUCCAGACGAGAGCUAGCUCGUAGGUGGUUGAGGUCCUGAGGCCACGUCCGCCGCCCUCCGGGAUCGAGUCCUACGAAUCCCGGGGCUCGGCUGGAGGCGACCGAGGCGACGUCGGACGGCCGGCCAUCGCCUUUGCCAAGUUCUACUGCCAAGAUAUAGUUGGAUCCAAAGAGUCUGUUCCAUCAAGAAUUAGGUCCGUGAGGCUGGGAGAAGCUCUAUGAUCCAGAUUUUUAUGCCAAGUUGACAUGUAAUUGGAACGCCGCGGAGAGUGGUGAGAUGGUUGCGCUGCACUCCUAGGACGAAACAGGUACAUGCAUGACUGAUAUGGCCAAGUUGAAUGCAAAUAUGAGGCAACAGUGAACUUGAACCAUCAUUAAGUAAGCAUGUUCUAAUUUUUGGAAUAUAGAUUCAAAGUUGUUUGAAUUGCAAUGUGGCUCAUUGAUAUUCUGGCUUGUUUUUGACAUGAGUGGAUGUAUUUUGUUUUUUUAUAUGAA
Long non-coding RNA from Panicum hallii, 650 nucleotides. RefSeq lists it as uncharacterized. Lineage: Eukaryota; Viridiplantae; Streptophyta; Magnoliopsida; Poales; Poaceae. The transcript has 3 exons. The record is from RefSeq and is a predicted model, not a curated record.